RNAcentral lists this ribosomal RNA (426 nucleotides) under uncultured bacterium. RNAcentral's name for it is "bacterial SSU rRNA". It matches the Rfam family "Bacterial small subunit ribosomal RNA", at positions 356 to 773 of the family's 1533-position model. The record is from RNAcentral.
GGGGAAUAUUGCGCAAUGGGGGAAACCCUGACGCAGCAACGCCGCGUGAGUGAGGAAGGACUUCGGUCUGUAAAGCUCUGUUAAUGUGGAAAAAUGCUUAGUGGUCUAAUAGGCCAUUGAGUUGAUGGUACACAUAGAGGAAGCACCGGCUAACUUCGUGCCAGCAGCCGCGGUAAUACGAAGGGUGCAAGCGUUGUUCGGAUUUAUUGGGCGUAAAGCGCACGUAGGUGGACUUAUAAGUCAGAUGUGAAAUCUCGGGGCUCAACCUCGAAACUGCGUCUGAAACUGCAAGUCUAGAAUCUUGGAGGGGGCAGGGGAAUUUCACAUGUAGGGGUAAAAUCCGUAGAUAUGUGAAGGAACACCAGAGGCGAAGGCGCCUGCCUGGACAAGUAUUGACACUGAGGUGCGAAAGCGUGGGGAUCAAAC